GGGCCCGCACAAGCGGCGGAGCAUGUGGAUUAAUUCGAUGCAACGCGAAGAACCUUACCUGGGCUUGACAUGGACUAGAAAGCUCUAGAGAUAGAGCCUCCCUUGUGGCUGGUUCACAGGUGGUGCAUGGCUGUCGUCAGCUCGUGUCGUGAGAUGUUGGGUUAAGUCCCGCAACGAGCGCAACCCUCGUUCCAUGUUGCCAGCACGUAAUGGUGGGGACUCAUGGGAGACUGCCGGGGUCAACUCGGAGGAAGGUGGGGAUGACGUCAAGUCAUCAUGCCCCUUAUGUCCAGGGCUUCACACAUGCUACAAUGGCCAGUACAGAGGGCUGCGAGACCGUGAGGUGGAGCGAAUCCCUUAAAGCUGGUCUCAGUUCGGAUUGGGGUCUGCAACUCGACCCCAUGAAGUCGGAGUCGCUAGUAAUCGCAGA
This 430-nucleotide ribosomal RNA is filed under the name uncultured Actinomycetes bacterium. RNAcentral describes it as "bacterial SSU rRNA". It matches the Rfam family "Bacterial small subunit ribosomal RNA", at positions 917 to 1348 of the family's 1533-position model. The record is from RNAcentral. Lineage: Bacteria; Bacillati; Actinomycetota; Actinomycetes.